This 446-nucleotide ribosomal RNA is filed under the name uncultured bacterium. RNAcentral describes it as "partial 16S ribosomal RNA". It matches the Rfam family "Bacterial small subunit ribosomal RNA", at positions 338 to 795 of the family's 1533-position model. The record is from RNAcentral.
CCUACGGGAGGCAGCAGUCGAGAAUCAUUCACAAUGGGGGAAACCCUGAUGGUGCGACGCCGCGUGGGGGAAUGAAGGUCUUCGGAUGGUAAACCCCUGUCAUGUGGGAGCAAAUUAAAAAGAUAGUACCACAAUAGGAAGAGACUGCUAACUCUGUGCCAGCAGCCGCGGUAAUACAGAGGGCUCAAGCGUUGUUCGGAAUCACUGGGCGUAAAGCGUGCGUAGGCUGUUUCGUAAGUCGUGUGUGAAAUGCGCGGGCUCAACCCGCGGACGGCACAUGAUACUGCGAGACUAGAGUAAUGGAGGGGGAAGCGGAAUUCUAGGUGUAGCAGUGAAAUGCGUAGAUAUCGAGAGGAACACUCGUGGCGAAGGCGGGUUCCUGGACAUUAACUGACGCUGAGGCACGAAGGCCAGGGGAGCGAAAGGGAUUAGAUACCCGUGUAGUC